AUGCCCAGACCUGGAGGAUCCCCAGGGUCUUCUCAUGGUUGCAGCAGGAAGGACACCUCUCUGAGGAAGAGAUGGCCAGAACAUUUAACUGUGGGGUUGGCGCUGUCCUUGUGGUAUCAAAGGAGCAGACAGAGCAGAUUCUGAGGGAUAUCCAGCAGCACAAGGAAGAAGCCUGGGUGAUUGGCAGUGUGGUUGCACGAGCUGAAGGUUCCCCACGUGUGAAAGUCAAGAAUCUGAUUGAAAGCAUGCAAAUAAAUGGGUCAGUGUUGAAGAAUGGCUCCCUGACAAAUCAUUUCUCUUUUGAAAAAAAAAAGGCCAGAGUGGCUGUCUUAAUAUCUGGAACAGGAUCGAACCUGCAAGCACUUAUAGACAGUACUCGGGAACCAAAUAGCUCUGCACAAAUUGAUAUUGUUAUCUCCAACAAAGCCGCAGUAGCUGGGUUAGAUAAAGCGGAAAGAGCUGGUAUUCCCACUAGAGUAAUUAAUCAUAAACUGUAUAAAAAUCGUGUAGAAUUUGACAGUGCAAUUGACCUAGUCCUUGAAGAGUUCUCCAUAGACAUAGUCUGUCUUGCAGGAUUCAUGAGAAUUCUUUCUGGCCCCUUUGUCCAAAAGUGGAAUGGAAAAAUGCUCAAUAUCCACCCAUCCUUGCUCCCUUCUUUUAAGGGUUCAAAUGCCCAUGAGCAAGCCCUGGAAACCGGAGUCACAGUUACUGGGUGCACUGUACACUUUGUAGCUGAAGAUGUGGAUGCUGGACAGAUUAUUUUGCAAGAAGCUGUUCCCGUGAAGAGGGGUGAUACUGUCGCAACUCUUUCUGAAAGAGUAAAAUUAGCAGAACAUAAAAUAUUUCCUGCAGCCCUUCAGCUGGUGGCCAGUGGAACUGUACAGCUUGGAGAAAAUGGCAAGAUCUGUUGGGUUAAAGAGGAAUGAAGCCUUUUAAUUCAGAAAUGGGGCCAGUUUAGAAAGAAUUAUUUGCUGUUUGCAUGGUGGUUUUUUAUCAUGGACUUGGCCCAAAAGAAAAACUGCUAAAAGACAAAAAAGACCUCACCCUUACUUCAUCUAUUUUUUUAAUAAAUAGAGACUCACUAAAAACAAGACUAGUUAGUGCAGCAUAUCUGAGA
Molecule: unclassified non-coding RNA, 1117 nt
Filed under: Homo sapiens (human)
Lineage: Eukaryota; Metazoa; Chordata; Mammalia; Primates; Hominidae
Description: phosphoribosylglycinamide formyltransferase, phosphoribosylglycinamide synthetase, phosphoribosylaminoimidazole synthetase (ENSG00000262473.5)
Source: RNAcentral